UUGAACGCUGGCGGCAUGCCUUACACAUGCAAGUCGAACGGCAGCACGGGAGCAAUCCUGGUGGCGAGUGGCGAACGGGUGAGUAAUAUAUCGGAACGUGCCCGGUCGUGGGGGAUAACGUAGCGAAAGCUACGCUAAUACCGCAUACGAUCUACGGAUGAAAGCGGGGGAUCGCAAGACCUCGCGCGAUUGGAGCGGCCGAUAUCAGAUUAGGUAGUUGGUGAGGUAAAGGCUCACCAAGCCGACGAUCUGUAGCUGGUCUGAGAGGACGACCAGCCACACUGGGACUGAGACACGGCCCAGACUCCUACGGGAGGCAGCAGUGGGAAUUUUGGACAAUGGGCGCAAGCCUGAUCCAGCAAUGCCGCGUGCAGGAUGAAGGCCUUCGGGUUGUAAACUGCUUUUGUACGGAACGAAACGGUGAGCUCUAAUACAGUUUGCUAAUGACGGUACCGUAAGAAUAAGCACCGGCUAACUACGUG
Molecule: ribosomal RNA, 482 nt
Filed under: uncultured bacterium
Lineage: Bacteria
Description: bacterial SSU rRNA
Rfam family: Bacterial small subunit ribosomal RNA
Source: RNAcentral